GUGACCAGAAAGCUAGCUACAGAUUGUUUACCUCCUGUAUUGAACACAGAUCACCCCAUUUUAAAUUUUAGCGAUUCUUUAGGUAAAAAAAUACCUAAAGUUGUACUACAAAAGUAGUUUGAAAUGUUUUGGCAAAGUUUACAGGUAACUUUUGAGAUAUUUUGUAGUCACGUUGCUCAAGUUGGAACCAGUGUUUUUCUGGAUCAAACGCCCCAAAUAAAUUGACAUUUUGGAUAUACAUCGACGGAAUUAAUCGAACAAAAGGACCAUUUGUGAUGUUUAUGGGACAUAUUGGAGUGCCAACAAAAGAAGCUUGUCAAAGGGAAACGGCUGCUGAGAGGAGGCAGUAAACUUGUGUGCCUCCAGCCCCAUCCUGGCCUCUGGCCCCGGUCCAGAGCCCAGUGGAAAGCACCUAUUGAUGCCUGAAAAACUCCCACAGUCCACAGCUCCCUAGAGAUAAAGGGAGGUAGUGAAGGAGGCAGAUCUCCCGAGUGGUGCAGCAUUCUAAGGCACUGCAUCUCAGUGCUAGAGUCGUCACUACAGACCCUGGUUCGAUCCUGGACUGCAUCAC
Long non-coding RNA from Oncorhynchus tshawytscha (Chinook salmon), 571 nucleotides. Lineage: Eukaryota; Metazoa; Chordata; Actinopteri; Salmoniformes; Salmonidae. The record is from Ensembl.